ACGCUCGACACCUACGGGAGGCNGCAGUGGGGAAUAUUGCACAAUGGGGGAAACCCUGAUGCAGCGACGCCGCGUGAGCGAAGAAGUAUUUCGGUAUGUAAAGCUCUAUCAGCAGGGAAGAAACUGACGGUACCUGACUAAGAAGCACCGGCUAAAUACGUGCAAGCAGCCGCGGUAAUCUGAGCGGGCUGGCAAGGC
This 198-nucleotide ribosomal RNA is filed under the name uncultured bacterium. RNAcentral's name for it is "partial 16S ribosomal RNA". It matches the Rfam family "Bacterial small subunit ribosomal RNA", at positions 328 to 539 of the family's 1533-position model. The record is from RNAcentral.